UGCCCGGUAGCCAAGCGGUAAGGCAGGGGCCUUUGAAGCCUCGAUUCGCAGGUUCGAAUCCUGCCCGGGCAACCA
Molecule: transfer RNA, 75 nt
Filed under: Candidatus Moraniibacteriota bacterium
Lineage: Bacteria; Candidatus Moraniibacteriota
Description: tRNA-Gln
Rfam family: tRNA
About the family: Transfer RNA (tRNA) molecules are approximately 80 nucleotides in length. Their secondary structure includes four short double-helical elements and three loops (D, anti-codon, and T loops).
Source: RNAcentral